CAGCAGUGAUAAACAUUAUCUAUUAGCGCCAGCUUGACUUAGUCAGAGUAAACAGAGCCGGCCAACUCGGUGCCAGCCGCCGCGGCUAUCCCGCUCGGCUCAAGUUGACACUGUCGGCGUUAAGCGUGGUUAAUAUAAACACCUAAAGUAGAGUCAAACCACAACCAAGUUGUAAUACACUUGACCACGGGAGGCCCAUAAACGAAAGCUACUCUUCCCCAUUGAACCCACGACAGUUGGAAUACAAACUGGGAUUAGAUACCCCACUAUGCCCAACCGUAAAAUAUCUACCCACAUCUUAAAUCGCCAGGGAAUUACGAGCCCCCACUUAAAAUCUAAGGGACUUGACGGUGUCCCACCCACCUAGAGGAGCCUGUUCUAUAAUCGACACCCCACGAUACACCUCACCACCCCUAGCACACUCAGUCUGUAUACCUCCGUCGCAAGCUUACCAUGUGAACGCUCAUAGUGAGCCAAAAGAUUUACCAUCAACACGUCAGGUCAAGGUGCAACUAACGGAACGGAAAGCAAUGGGCUACAAUUUCUAUAAUAGAACAUACAAAAACCUGUAUGAAACACAACUACAAGGCGGAUUUAGAAGUAAAAAGAAAACAGAGAGUUCUUUUUAACUAGGCCCUGGGACGCGUACACACCGCCCGUCACCCUCCUCACCACAAGAGGAGGCAAGUCGUAACACGGUAAGCGUACUGGAAAGUGCGCUUGGAUAACAAAAUAUAGCUUAACCAAAGCAUCUCGCCUACACCGAAAUAGAUGUCAUUAACCUGACUAUUCUGAGCCCUAAUCCUAGCCCCCCCCCAAACCUACUUACAGUAAAUAAACAAAACAUUCUUUCAUGUAGUAACGGCGAUUAAAAAAUAAAUAAGAGCAAUAUAAACAGUACCGCAAGGGAAAUGUGAAAUAAAAUGAAAACCUCAAAGCAAACUACAGCAAAGAUUAACCCUUGUACCUUUUGCAUCAUGGUCUAGCCAGUCUAACCAAGCAAAACGCAUUUAAAGUUUGACCUCCCGAAACUAGACGAGCUACUCUAAAACAGCCAAAUAGGGCUAACCCAUCCAUAUUACAAAAUGGUGGAAAGAUUUUAAAGUAGAGGUGACACACCUAUCGAGCCUAGAGAUAGCUGGUUAUUCAAAUAAACGGAUUUAAGUCCAACUUUAAGCUAUUUUAGUAUCACUAAACAACCUAUAAACUUAAAAGCCAUUCAAAUAAGGUACAGCCUAUUUGAAAAAGGAAACAACCUAAAAUAUUGGGUAAUGUCUAAACAAGUGGCCAAGUAGGCCUAAAAGCAGCCAACUUCUAAAAAGCGUCCAAGCUUCACCACAAAUAUCUUUAAUCCCCGCACCUAUACACAACCCACAACCACUACUGAAUGACCCCAUACGCAUAUGGUUAACAAUAUGCUAGAACUAGUAACAAGAAAACGAACUUCUCCAAAAUGUAAGCGUAAGCCAAAAUGAACCCCUCACUGGCACCUACCGCCACAACAGUAUUAACCACACAAGAAAAUCCUACUGCCCUAAGCGCCAACCUUACACUAGAACAUUACCGGAAAGAUUAAAAGGGGGGGAAGGAACUCGGCAAAUACCAGCCCCGCCUGUUUACCAAAAACAUCGCCUCCCGACGUACAUGAGAGGUCCAGCCUGCCCAGUGACUAAUAGUUAAACGGCCGCGGUACCAUAACCGUGCAAAGGUAGCACAAUCACUUGUUCUUUAAAUCAGGACUAGUAUGAACGGCCCCACGAGGGCUAUGCUGUCUCCCCCCUUCAAUCAGUGAAACUGAUCCCCUCGUGAAGAAGCGAGAAUGACCCUAUAAGACGAGAAGACCCCAUGGAACUUUAAACUAGUACUACCCCCGCACUGACAUCACAACAGCAGGACCACAUAUUUACUAGUCUUUCGGCUGGGGCGGCCACGGGGAAAAACAAAACCCCCGAGAUGAAAGGAAACCCCCUUAUCCAAGAAUUACCAUUCCAAGAAUCAAUAAAUGACACAAUUGACCCAACACUUGAUCAACGAACCAAGCUACCCUGGGGAUAACAGCGCAAUCCAUUUCAAGAGACCUCAUCGACAAAUGGGCUUACGACCUCGAUGUUGGAUCA
RNAcentral lists this unclassified non-coding RNA (2117 nucleotides) under Stumpffia roseifemoralis. Its description in RNAcentral is "partial contains 12S ribosomal RNA, tRNA-Val, and 16S ribosomal RNA". The stretch from base 1 to 736 matches the Rfam family "Bacterial small subunit ribosomal RNA", at positions 440 to 1533 of the family's 1533-position model. Lineage: Eukaryota; Metazoa; Chordata; Amphibia; Anura; Microhylidae. The record is from RNAcentral.